GAUGAACGCUGGCGGCGUGCCUAAUACAUGCAAGUCGAGCGAACAGAUGAGGGGCUGGCUCCUCGGACGUGAGCGGCGGGCGGGUGAGUAACACGUGGAUAACCUACCUAUAAGACGGGUAUAAGUUCGAGAAGCCGGAGCUAAUACGGGAUAAGAUGUGAAAGCGCAUGGUGCAGUAGGAAAGGACGUUGGUGCGGGCAGUGAUAGAGGGAUCCGCGCCGUAUUAGGUAGUUGUGAAGGUAACGGCCUACGAAGGCAACGAUGCGUAGCCGACCUGAGCGGGUGAUAGCCCACCUUAGAGCUGAGCCACGCUCCCGGCUACUAAGGGAGGCCGCAGUCGCGAACGUUACGCAAUGGGCGAAAGUAUGACGGAGCAAGCCAGAGUGAGUGACGACGGUCUCCGGAUCGUAACAACCUGUUACUAGGGAAGAACCACUGUGUACGUAAAUAUGCCCGUCUUGACGGUACCUACUCAGAAAGCCCCGGCUAACUACGUG
This 497-nucleotide ribosomal RNA is filed under the name uncultured bacterium. RNAcentral's name for it is "partial 16S ribosomal RNA". It matches the Rfam family "Bacterial small subunit ribosomal RNA", at positions 28 to 507 of the family's 1533-position model. The record is from RNAcentral.